AUACGUAGGGGGCAAGCGUUAUCCGGAAUUACUGGGCGUAAAGAGUGCGUAGGUGGCUGCUUAAGCGCGGGGUCUAAGAUAACGGCCUAACCGUUGUCCGCCCCGCGAACUGGGCAGCUUGAGUACAGGAGAGGAAGGCGGAAUUCCUAGUGUAGCGGUGAAAUGCGUAGAUAUUAGGAGGAACACCGGUGGCGAAGGCGGCCUUCUGGACUGUCACUGACACUGAGGCACGAAAGCGUGGGUAGCAAACAGGAUUAGAUACCCUGGUAGUCCACGCCGUAAACGAUGAGCACUAGGUGUCGGGUUCGUGAGGACUCGGUGCCGCAGCUAACGCAUUAAGUGCUCCGCCUGGGGAGUACGCACGCAAGUGUGAA
RNAcentral lists this ribosomal RNA (374 nucleotides) under uncultured bacterium. RNAcentral describes it as "bacterial SSU rRNA". It matches the Rfam family "Bacterial small subunit ribosomal RNA", at positions 523 to 898 of the family's 1533-position model. The record is from RNAcentral.